UACGGAGGGUGCAAGCGUUGUCCGGAUUUAUUGGGUUUAAAGGGUGCGUAGGCGGCCCGUUAAGUCAGCGGUGAAAUCCCGGGGCUCAACCCCGGAACUGCCGUUGAUACUGGCGGGCUUGAGUUCGGUGAAGGCGGGCGGAACUGGCGGUGUAGCGGUGAAAUGCUUAGAUACCGCCAAGAACCCCGAUUGCGUAGGCAGCUCGCUGUGCCAAAACUGACGCUGAGGCACGAAAGCGUGGGGAGCGAACAGG
This 253-nucleotide ribosomal RNA is filed under the name uncultured bacterium. Its description in RNAcentral is "partial 16S ribosomal RNA". It matches the Rfam family "Bacterial small subunit ribosomal RNA", at positions 524 to 776 of the family's 1533-position model. The record is from RNAcentral.